Long non-coding RNA from Parus major (Great Tit), 1923 nucleotides. RefSeq lists it as uncharacterized. NCBI's taxonomy places the organism in Eukaryota, Metazoa, Chordata, Aves, Passeriformes, Paridae. The transcript has 2 exons. The record is from RefSeq and is a predicted model, not a curated record.
UCCAGUUUUGAGACCUGAAGGUCCUGAUGAAUUAAAUACAAGUGUAAAAACAUCAGUGCUGUUACUGGGGGAUUCUGAAAAGGUGCAGCUCCAUGUGGAGAGGAAUGUGAAAAUCCAGAAAUAUUCAGCCUGAAACCUUAUACCAGCAGCCAGCAAAAGUCUCGCAGCAGGAGCUGCACUGUACUUACAAUAUUCUAGAUGGAGCUGUACCAAGAAGAGGUGAAGAUUGAAUUUUUAGGUCUGCUGGAACUACAUGAAUGAGCCUGUGUGGAGCCUCCCCUACAAAAGGGGAUCAUGUACAAGAGAUUAUGGAUUCUACAAACUGUGCAUCAAAUUUAACAAAACAAUUAAAGCUGUGCCUGUGAGGCAGGUGAUGGUGCUGUGGGGAACACAUUGAUGGAAUGUAGAAGUGGCUGUUUGAAGGAGACAUCUAAACCCUGUAAAGGAUGGGGGUGGCCAAUUAAUUCAUUUGACAGCUGGAUGUGGCUAGAUAAGCAUACCAUGUUUGUCACUUCUUGGCAGAAGUGCAGGAGCCCUGGAAGAGCUGACCAAACACUCCUUCAUUUUGUAGAGCUUUAGAAGACCCAAGAGUAGAAGCCUAGGGGGUCACUGUGGUUGCUGUGAGGUGGAAAUAAGUUUUUCCAAGGACACUCUCUAAACAUAAGGUCAAUUUCCUUUUAUUCAGAAAUUGUAGAAUCUGGUACAGGGCAUGACUGACCAACACAUAACAAGUGUGUACUUGUCCUAUCCAGCAACAGACCCGGAGAAACUCAACCCAGUGACACAAUGUGAGUCAGUCAUGCAGAAAUGUUGGGGACCAGAGUCUCUGGCUACACUGACCUUGGCUGCAGACAUGCAUGUCUCAGCUGCAUUGCUGUAGCUGCCUCUGAAGGCUCUGUUUGACUGGCAAAAUCUCAGCUACCAAUGGUAAUCCCUGGAAAGGAACUGCUCCAGCCUGACUGUCAAGCUGGCUCACAACAGCUGCAAUUAAGAAGAAACAUCCCUUACCAGUUAAGGGAGUAAACUGGAUUUGGAAUCAACAUAAUACAAUAACUUGGAUUCCCAAAACACUGUUUCUGUGGUACUUUGAGGAUUUCCAGGACAAAAAGCAAGCAGCUCUCAUGGCAGGAGGAAUGUGCUGGGUAAGACUUCCUAUUUCUGCUGCACUGGCAGGUUACAGGAGACAAGGCUCUAAAGCUGAGAAAUUUGGUGGUUUGGACCCAUGAAUUCAAAGUAGUUGGGCUCUGGGAACUUCGUGCAAGUUUGUCUGCACUGGGACCUAGGACACUUUCCCAGAGCAAUUUGAGUUACCUUCUUUGGAAAUGCAUGAAGACAAGAAUAACCUGGCAUGGCAAAGUUCUACCAGGUCACCAAGCAUUUCCUAGGGCCUGAGGAACAGGGUGGCAAAUAUGCUGAUUUCCAGCAGUUUGUGGGACAGUUAUGGAUGCACAGAAAUCUUGCCUAACCCCAUCCUUAUCUCCUGGCUUUUGUUUAUUUUUUAAACUCAGUUUAAGCAUCAGCCAUAAGAACAGUGGUGUGGCACAAGGAAUAAAGAUACACAAACUGCACUCAGUCCAACCCAAAGUACUCACCCUGCUGUGGACACAUUAGCAGGUCUGGGUACAGCAAGCAGUUGCCAUGAUCUGCAAAGGAGCCUUGAGACAUCAGCUCGCAUCAGAGAGCCUGGAUUAGAACAGUGGAGAGAAAGAAACCAGAAGUGCAUGACAAAUCAAUGGCUUUGCAAUUUGUCACUACAGCAAUGGUGAGUUCAGGUAUGCAGACCAGGCUGUCUGGUACCAACCAGCCUCAAGGCACUCUGGGCAGAUAACAUGUGCAACACAUUCUUGAAAGACACAGCCUUCAGAAAUAGCUUUCAAAUAUGUUUUCAAAAGUGGUAGGUCCUUAUUAAACUAAUGAUCCUAA